Molecule: non-coding RNA, 939 nt
Organism: Alosa alosa (allis shad)
Lineage: Eukaryota; Metazoa; Chordata; Actinopteri; Clupeiformes; Clupeidae
Source: the annotation of a RefSeq genome assembly
AAAUGUAAGUGAUGCGAUUCUUUCAGGUUAAAACCUUCCAAUUUUGUGUGCGAUAUUAUGGUCAUUUUGCAUAUAUAUUUUGAUAGUACAAAAUCUAGCGUUCCCGGCGAAUCUAACGCAUAACAAUGAACUUUUGGCAUCUGUAAAAAGCAGGCUUAACUUUUUAUAUCAUUGCCGAAAUGUACCGAAUAAUUGCAUUGGAUUGAAAACCGUUGGCUGCUCAAAAUAAGUUAAAGUAUUUAAAAUUUCACUUGUUGGAUCAACCACUAAAUGCACCCUGCAUGCGUUAAAGAUGCAGAUGCAUGUCACUGAAGCGUGAGGAGGUUUUUGUACAGGCUCUAAAUAGAUUUGUACCACUGUGGUGGACUUUUGGUAGCGGCACGAAGCUUGAAGUUGGAAGUAACACCAGCCCCAAACUGACAGUCUUGCCCCCGUCAAGCGAAGAGCUCUCCAGCAAGAGUACUGCCACGCUGGUGUGCCUGGCCAACGGAGGCUUCCCGUCAGACUGGGCUCUCAGCUGGAAGGUGGAUGGGAACAGCAGGCCUGGGGUGGCCAGUCGCUGGGGUCCAGAGAAGAACGGCCUGUACAGCUGGAGCAGCACCCUGACCAUGCCUUCCCAGGAGUGGACCAAGGCUGCCUCAGUGACCUGUGAGGCCAAACAGGGCUCCCAGUCUCCAGUCACCAAGGUUAUAAAGAGAGGCGAAUGCUCUGACUAGAGUAGCAUACCUCCAUUUUCUACAGUCUGGGUGACUGAUUAUUGUAUGUGUCUUAUUUUUUAUCGUUUAUGUACUCACUGUACUGUGCUUGCUGUCUUCAUUGACAUACAGCCACAGCCUUUACUGUUAUACUUGUUCUGCCUAAUCAAUGAGAAAAUGUUCUUGUGCCGUUUCUGUUGCAAAAUUUGACUUGGAAAAAAUAAAAGCUUUCUACUGAACCAUA